CGGGGCGUAGCUCAGCCUGGUAGAGCGCCUGCUUUGGGAGCAGGGGGUCGCAUGUUCGAAUGUCGCCCCGACCA
This 74-nucleotide transfer RNA is filed under the name Chenggangzhangella methanolivorans. RNAcentral's name for it is "tRNA-Pro". It matches the Rfam family "tRNA". Rfam says of the family: Transfer RNA (tRNA) molecules are approximately 80 nucleotides in length. Their secondary structure includes four short double-helical elements and three loops (D, anti-codon, and T loops). The record is from RNAcentral. Lineage: Bacteria; Pseudomonadati; Pseudomonadota; Alphaproteobacteria; Hyphomicrobiales; Methylopilaceae.